This 154-nucleotide ribosomal RNA is filed under the name Agroathelia rolfsii. RNAcentral's name for it is "Athelia rolfsii 5.8S rRNA". It matches the Rfam family "5.8S ribosomal RNA". From Rfam's summary of the family: 5.8S ribosomal RNA (5.8S rRNA) is a component of the large subunit of the eukaryotic ribosome. RNAcentral also lists the same sequence under 1 other name. The record is from RNAcentral. Lineage: Eukaryota; Fungi; Basidiomycota; Agaricomycetes; Amylocorticiales; Amylocorticiaceae.
CAACUUUCAACAACGGAUCUCUUGGCUCUUGCAUCGAUGAAGAACGCAGCGAAAUGCGAUAAGUAAUGUGAAUUGCAGAAUCCAGUGAACCAUCGAAUCUUUGAACGCACCUUGCGCCCUUUGGUAUUCCGAGGGGCAUGCCUGUUUGAGAGUC